Molecule: ribosomal RNA, 511 nt
Filed under: uncultured bacterium
Lineage: Bacteria
Description: bacterial SSU rRNA
Rfam family: Bacterial small subunit ribosomal RNA
Source: RNAcentral
AGGCAGCAGUGAGGAAUAUUGGUCAAUGGACGGAAGUCUGAACCAGCCAUGCCGCGUGAAGGAUGAAGGCGUUCUGCGUUGUAAACUUCUUUUAUCUGGGAAGAAACCACAGAUUUCUAUUUGUGUUGACGGUACCAGAAGAAUAAGCACCGGCUAACUCCGUGCCAGCAGCCGCGGUAAUACGGAGGGUGCGAGCGUUAUCCGGAUUUACUGGGUUUAAAGGGUGCGUAGGCGGGCUAUUAAGUCAGAGGUGAAAUCUCCGGGCUCAACCUGGAAACUGCCUUUGAUACUAUUAGCCUUGAAUUAUGUUGAGGUUGGCGGAAUAUAACAUGUAGCGGUGAAAUGCUUAGAUAUGUUAUGGAACACCGAUUGCGAAGGCAGCUGGCUAAACAUAUAUUGACGCUGAUGCACGAAAGCGUGGGUAGCGAACAGGAUUAGAUACCCUGGUAGUCCACGCCCUAAACGAUGAUUACUCGUCAUUUGUGAUACACCAAUAAGUGACCAAGCGAAA